RNAcentral lists this long non-coding RNA (228 nucleotides) under Monodelphis domestica (gray short-tailed opossum). RNAcentral describes it as "lncRNA (ENSMODG00000046179.1)". Lineage: Eukaryota; Metazoa; Chordata; Mammalia; Didelphimorphia; Didelphidae. The record is from RNAcentral.
UGUCUCAGGGUUAUUGCUGUCUAACCUUCAUGAAGUGAAAUUUCCAUUUCCUCAAGAAGUACCUGCAAAAAUUUAGAGGAAAAUAAAAAUAAUACUGGUCCAUUGAUAGAUCUACAAGUCUACUAUGUAAUCAAAGGUAACAAAGAUCUUCAGAGAUUCACUGAGACUAUUCUUGUAUCACUUUUUAUUACGUCCAUGGAAGAGCUUGCCUUGUGUGAGUUCUCAAUA